Molecule: ribosomal RNA, 453 nt
Filed under: uncultured bacterium
Lineage: Bacteria
Description: bacterial SSU rRNA
Rfam family: Bacterial small subunit ribosomal RNA
Source: RNAcentral
GAUGAACGCUAGCGGCAGGCCUAACACAUGCAAGUCGAGGGGUAGAGUUAGCUUGCUAACUUGAGACCGGCGCACGGGUGCGUAACGCGUAUGCAAUCUACCUUAUACAGGGGAAUAGCCCAGAGAAAUUUGGAUUAAUGCCCCAUGGUAUUAUUAAGUGGCAUCAUUUGAUAAUUAAAGUUCCAACGGUAUAAGAUGAGCAUGCGUCCCAUUAGUUAGUUGGUAAGGUAACGGCUUACCAAGACGAUGAUGGGUAGGGGUCCUGAGAGGGAGAUCCCCCACACUGGUACUGAGACACGGACCAGACUCCUACGGGAGGCAGCAGUGAGGAAUAUUGGUCAAUGGAGGCAACUCUGAACCAGCCAUGCCGCGUGCAGGAAGAAGCAUCUAUGGUGUGUAAACUGCUUUUAUACAGGAAGAAACAACGCUACGUGUAGCGUCUUGACGGUACGU